GGCACUUUGGCGGAGUGGUUAACGCGCUGGCCUGCUAAGCCAGUUCCUUCGGGAGCGUGAGUUCGAAUCUCACAGGUGUCG
RNAcentral lists this transfer RNA (81 nucleotides) under Sarocladium strictum. It matches the Rfam family "tRNA". Rfam says of the family: Transfer RNA (tRNA) molecules are approximately 80 nucleotides in length. Their secondary structure includes four short double-helical elements and three loops (D, anti-codon, and T loops). Further hydrogen bonds mediate the characteristic L-shaped molecular structure. tRNAs have two regions of fundamental functional importance: the anti-codon, which is responsible for specific mRNA codon recognition, and the 3' end, to which the tRNAs corresponding amino acid is attached (by aminoacyl-tRNA synthetases). tRNAs cope with the degeneracy of the genetic code in two manners: having more than one tRNA (with a specific anti-codon) for a particular amino acid; and 'wobble' base-pairing, i.e. permitting non-standard base-pairing at the 3rd anti-codon position. The record is from Rfam by way of RNAcentral. Lineage: Eukaryota; Fungi; Ascomycota; Sordariomycetes; Hypocreales; Sarocladiaceae. RNAcentral also lists the same sequence under 3 other names.